GAUGAACGCUAGCGGCAGGCUUAACACAUGCAAGUCGAGGGGUAUAGCACUUCGGUGCUAGAGACCGGCGCACGGGUGCGUAACGCGUAUGCAAUCUACCUUUUACAGAGGGAUAGCCCAGAGAAAUUUGGAUUAAUACCUCAUAGUAUUAUGAAAUGGCAUCAUUUUAUAAUUAAAGUCACAACGGUAAAAGAUGAGCA
Molecule: ribosomal RNA, 200 nt
Filed under: uncultured bacterium
Lineage: Bacteria
Description: partial 16S ribosomal RNA
Rfam family: Bacterial small subunit ribosomal RNA
Source: RNAcentral